AAUGAACGUUGGCGGCGUGGAUUAGGCAUGCAAGUCGAGCGUACCCCGCAAGGGGGAAGCGGCAAACGGGGUAGUAAGGCGUCGGUACGUGCCUCCUGGACGGGGACAGCCACGGGAAACUGUGGGUAAUACCCGAUGACAUCGAGAGAUCAAAGGUGUGAUUCCGCCGGGAGAGCGGCUGACGUGGUAUUAGGUAGUUGGUAAGGUAAUGGCUUACCAAGCCUGGGAUGCCUAGGGGGUGUGAGAGCAUGGCCCCCACCAUUGGGACUGAGACACUGCCCAGACACCUACGGGUGGCAG
Molecule: ribosomal RNA, 300 nt
Filed under: uncultured Planctomycetota bacterium
Lineage: Bacteria; Pseudomonadati; Planctomycetota
Description: bacterial SSU rRNA
Rfam family: Bacterial small subunit ribosomal RNA
Source: RNAcentral